GAAGGUCCUAAAGGGCGACCUUA
This 23-nucleotide non-coding RNA is filed under the name Arabidopsis thaliana (thale cress). The record is from RNAcentral. Lineage: Eukaryota; Viridiplantae; Streptophyta; Magnoliopsida; Brassicales; Brassicaceae.